GCAGGCCCUGAUCGAAGCCGGGUUAGUGCUUUGUGUAACUAACGUGGUCAAACAGAGGCCCAGAUUAAGUCUGUUUCCACUGACGGUCGCUGCUCGGGCUUAUUUGUGCCAGAAGUCAGCAACAUUACGGGGAAAUACAACG
This is a small nucleolar RNA of Spea bombifrons (plains spadefoot toad), 142 nucleotides long. The record is from RefSeq and is a predicted model, not a curated record. NCBI's taxonomy places the organism in Eukaryota, Metazoa, Chordata, Amphibia, Anura, Pelobatidae.